AAAUAAACCUGAACGAAGCGGAAAGCCCACAGGCAAGCGCAGCGAAGACGAGGACUUGCAGCAAAGUGCAGGGCUUUCU
Molecule: unclassified non-coding RNA, 79 nt
Filed under: Pedobacter xixiisoli
Lineage: Bacteria; Pseudomonadati; Bacteroidota; Sphingobacteriia; Sphingobacteriales; Sphingobacteriaceae
Description: Flavo-1 RNA
Source: RNAcentral